CAUCCCCUGCGGUGUACGUAUGCAACCAGGGUAUUUUCUUGAGCCUAACAUCUACCCAGGGAACAUGACGACGGUGCCAGUGAGCAUGUCCGCAACCUAGCGGAAAGCCUGAGGCGCCUCUGUUGUUCCCACUUGAACCCACUGGUUCAAGAACAAAGGUUCGCGACGGCACAGGUGGGGGAUGU
This 185-nucleotide non-coding RNA is filed under the name gamma proteobacterium symbiont of Ctena orbiculata. RNAcentral describes it as "6S RNA". It matches the Rfam family "6S / SsrS RNA". Rfam says of the family: E. coli 6S RNA was the first non coding RNA to be sequenced, but its function was unknown until recently. It consists of 184 nucleotides that fold into an extended hairpin structure with a large single-stranded internal bulge. The 6S RNA specifically associates with RNA polymerase holoenzyme containing the sigma70 specificity factor. Lineage: Bacteria; Pseudomonadati; Pseudomonadota; Gammaproteobacteria. RNAcentral also lists the same sequence under 4 other names. The record is from RNAcentral.